ACUGGGGCAAAAAGGAGCCUAACAAUUCUUUCUCUGUUCUCCCUGCCCCACAUCUACAAGUCAGAGGGAGAUAGAAGUGAUUAUAAAACCAGCUGACCAGGAAGGGACAGGCGACUUGCAGACUCAGGUGAACUUCUCAGCAUUGCAAUACCCCUGCUAGUGGUCCUGCUGCCCACACAUUAUGAGGGCCUGUCCCACGUAUAGACUGCCUUUCGAAAGCAGGCAGCAGACUAGAAGCUGUACAGGAACGUGCAGUCUUCUCUUAUUUUCCAGACUGAGUUUUCACCACCUAGUGCAAGCAGCAACCGAAGAGCAGAGACCUCAACAUGCAGGUGGCAAUUAGUGCACGGUGUGGCCAAUUGAGAGACAUCCGGGGUAGAAAGGGGAACUGGAGUGCAAAGAACUCUGGCAUGCUUUUCAUGACUCAAACUGCCAAUCUGCUACAUCAGUGCCACAGGCAGCCACUGUUUUAGGAGAGGGAUGAAUAUGACAUGGCAUGAAAACUGACCUUUUCCAGUCCUGGGACCACUGCUGAGUUUUCCAAAUUUGCUGUCAUAUUGAGUGCAGCACUUUCACAGCAUCAUCUUUUAGGUUUUGAAAUAGUUCAACUGGAAUUCCAUCACCUCCACUAGCUUUGUUCAUAGUGAUGCUUCCUAAGGCCCACUUGACUUCACAUGCCAGGAUGUCUGGCUCUAGGUCAGUGAUCGCACCAUUGUGAUUAUCUGGAUUGUGAAGAUCUUUUUUGUAUAGUUCUUCUGUGUAUUCUUGCCACUUCUUGAUAAUAUUAGUUUUCAUUCCAACCCCAAAGAAAGGCAAUGCCAAAGAAUGCUCAAACUACUGCACAAUUGCACUCAUCUCAUAUGCUAGUCAAGUAAUGCUCAAAAUUCUCCAAGCGAGGCUUUAACAAUACAUGAACCGUGAACUUCUAGAUAUUCAAGCUGGUUUUAGAAAAGAAAAAACAGAAAUUAAAUUGCCAACAUCCAUUGGAUCAUCCAAAAAGCAAGAGUUCGAGAAAAACAUCUACUUCUGAUUUAUUGACUAUGACAAAGCCUUUGACUGUGUGGAUCACCACAAAC
RNAcentral lists this long non-coding RNA (1076 nucleotides) under Bos indicus x Bos taurus (hybrid cattle). Its description in RNAcentral is "lncRNA (ENSBIXG00000021291.1)". Lineage: Eukaryota; Metazoa; Chordata; Mammalia; Artiodactyla; Bovidae. The record is from RNAcentral.